This 447-nucleotide long non-coding RNA is filed under the name Dermacentor andersoni. RNAcentral's name for it is "uncharacterized LOC126548028". The record is from RNAcentral. Lineage: Eukaryota; Metazoa; Arthropoda; Arachnida; Ixodida; Ixodidae.
UGUGAGCAGAAGUGAGUGCGAGUGAGUACCAGUGAGUGUGAGUGCGAGUGAGUGCCAGCGAGUGUGAGCAGAGGUGAGUGCGAGGGCGAGUGAGUGCCAGUGAGUGUGAGCGGAGAUGAGUGCGAGUGAGUACCAGUGAGUGUGAGUGGAGGUGAGUGCGAGUGCGAGUGAGUGCCAGUGAGUGUGAGCGCAGAUGAGUGCGAGUGAGUACCAUUGAGUGUGAGCUGAGGUGAGUGCGAGUGCGAGUGAGUGCCAGUGAGUGUGAGCGGAGAUGAGUGCGAGUGAGUGCGAGUGUGAGUGAGUGCCAGUGAGUGUGAGUGGAGGUGAGUGGGAAUGCGAGUGUGUGCCAGUGAGUGUGAGUGGAGAGGAGUGCGAGUGAGUGCCAGUGAGUGUGAGCCGAGGUGAGUGCGAGUGUGAGUGAGUGCCAGUGAGUGUGAGCCGAGGUGA